ACGGAGGGUGCAAGCGUUAUUCGGAAUCAUUGGGUGUAAAGCGCGUGUAGGCGGCUGGGUAAGUUAGAUGUGAAAGCUCUGGGCUUAACCCGGAAAGUGCAUUUAAAACUGCCUGGCUUGAGUCUCGUAGAGGAAGGUGGAAUUCCCAGUGUAGAGGUGAAAUUCGUAGAUAUUGGGAGGAACACCGGUGGCGAAGGCGACCUUCUGGGCGCAGACUGACGCUGAGACGCGAAAGCGUGGGGAGCAAACAG
This 251-nucleotide ribosomal RNA is filed under the name uncultured prokaryote. RNAcentral's name for it is "partial 16S rRNA". It matches the Rfam family "Bacterial small subunit ribosomal RNA", at positions 525 to 775 of the family's 1533-position model. The record is from RNAcentral.